Xenia sp. Carnegie-2017 is the source of this 855-nucleotide RNA transcript. It is a transcript of the gene named tetratricopeptide repeat protein 21B-like, with no coding region annotated. The record is from RefSeq and is a predicted model, not a curated record. The transcript has 4 exons. Lineage: Eukaryota; Metazoa; Cnidaria; Anthozoa; Malacalcyonacea; Xeniidae.
CCGAGAGUCAACAAUACAGAGUGAUAAAGAGAUGUCAGCAAAUGGCAGAAAACGAUAACACAAAAAUCUAGCUUGUACUAUUAAUUCGUACGAAUAACUAUGGCAUCUACAGAUACUCUAAUACUGGGCAGUAUCAACUAUUAUUGUCGAGCAAGAUUUUACACGCACCUACAAAACGUGUGUUUGCAAGGUUUGCAGAAGCACGGAGGUGAUCCGGUUUUGACAUUUUGGAAAGCAUUUGGAAUACUGAUGGAAGAUCGUGUGUCAGAAGCCAUUAGAGAAUUUGAAUCCAUCCAAGAAAGUGAAGAAGUUGUCCUGUGUUGUUUGAUGGCAUUAAUCUAUGCACAUAAAAAGGCACAAUUAAUUGACAAGGAAAGUGUACAUGAAUUGGAAACAAGAUUGAAAAAGAUUCGAACAAGUGUUGGUGAGAAUGCGCUAUACUUUGCUGCAAUGUUUUUGUGGCACACAGUACGUCAUGAAAAAGCAAGAGAAUAUGUUGACAGAAUGUUGAAAAUGUCCAAUGGUUCGAAAGAGGUUUUCUAAACACUGGAAUUUUUUAAUAAAGUAAGGAAUUUUUUAAUAAAGUAAGGAAUGCGCUGGAAUUUUUUAAUAAAGUAAGUUGUUUAUUGUGAAAUAUCGAUGGAAGUGGAGUCAAUAAUUCAAACAAGACCUGGUAUGAUUGUGCAAGGACAAACAAUGCAAUUGCAAGUGAAGGCAUCCACCAGCCCUGUUGCAUAUGAGAAACUUAAGAAUAUUCUUCUCAAAGAGCGUCGUCAAACGUGUCGCAGCGAUUUAGAAGUAAGCACAAAGUUGAAUACUGCGUGAUAUAAAGCGCUCUCAAAGACCAGCGGAGAG